Small nucleolar RNA from Lotus japonicus, 106 nucleotides. RefSeq annotates it as small nucleolar RNA Z279/snoR105/snoR108. NCBI's taxonomy places the organism in Eukaryota, Viridiplantae, Streptophyta, Magnoliopsida, Fabales, Fabaceae. The transcript has a single exon. The record is from RefSeq and is a predicted model, not a curated record.
GGGAUAUGAUGAGUGGUUAAAUCUCGCGUUUUUGAUGUGAGUGGGGUGUUCGCCCCAAGCCUGGUUACGACAACCUGGGCACCCUCCUAAUUUCCAAUCUGAUCCC